Hippocampus comes (tiger tail seahorse) is the source of this 456-nucleotide long non-coding RNA. RefSeq lists it as uncharacterized. The transcript is spliced from 2 exons. Lineage: Eukaryota; Metazoa; Chordata; Actinopteri; Syngnathiformes; Syngnathidae. The record is from RefSeq and is a predicted model, not a curated record.
ACAUGGCUGCUGACGCCGCCAGCCAGCUCUGCCAAGUCACAAAGCCGGUGGAGUACUGGCACAUCCAUGCCUGUAACUUCUCGCAAUACUCCGCGGUGGUGCAACUUUCAGGACGCAGACAAGAGGACAGACUGACACAGGGUGGAAAUGUUAUAUUUGAAGCCCAGUGGGGUGAGUGCUUGAUGCGGAGCCGCCCAAUCAGGAGCAGGUGCCGCCAUUGCCAUGGUGACAAUAGGGUUAAGAGGCGUGUCUUCAAAUCAAAUUCUGGUGUGAGGGUCUGAAGGGGCCAUGUGGCGUUGCCCUCUUUUGACUUAUUUUCACAAAGUAGCACAUUUACUUCAUGUCAACUUUCCUGAUGAUCGUUGAAUAAUCGCAAUGGGCAAAGUAUGGCCUGGGCACACAUACAGCCCACUUUGUUUUUUAAACCGGCCCAUUAAACCAGCAUUUACAUUGCCA